GAUGAACGCUGGCGGCGUGCCUAAUACAUGCAAGUCGAGCGAACAGGCGAGGAGCUUGCUCCUCUGACGUUAGCGGCGGACGGGUGAGUAACACGUGGAUAACCUACCUAUAAGACUGGGAUAACUUCGGGAAACCGGAGCUAAUACCGGAUAAUAUAUUGAACCGCAUGGUUCAAUAGUGAAAGACGGUUUUGCUGUCACUUAUAGAUGGAUCCGCGCCGCAUUAGCUAGUUGGUAAGGUAACGGCUUACCAAGGCAACGAUGCGUAGCCGACCUGAGAGGGUGAUCGGCCACACUGGAACUGAGACACGGUCCAGACUCCUACGGGAGGCAGCAGUAGGGAAUCUUCCGCAAUGGGCGAAAGCCUGACGGAGCAACGCCGCGUGAGUGAUGAAGGUCUUCGGAUCGUAAAGCUCUGUUAUUAGGGAAGAACAAAUGUGUAAGUAACUAUGCACGUCUUGACGGUACCUAAUCAGAAAGCCACGGCUAACUACGUG
RNAcentral lists this ribosomal RNA (497 nucleotides) under uncultured bacterium. RNAcentral describes it as "partial 16S ribosomal RNA". It matches the Rfam family "Bacterial small subunit ribosomal RNA", at positions 28 to 507 of the family's 1533-position model. The record is from RNAcentral.